UCGAGACUCAGUCAGUCUUUCGUCGUCUUUCGAACCAUAUCUCGUGAUAGAUAUAAUGCUUGUAAUAAAGUGUAUGUGAAUAUAUUAUAUGCUUUCAACAUUGCGUAGUGCUAGAGUAUUAAUUUGAACAGAAUAAGUUAUCACCAGGAAAUUACACUUUAAAAAUAAAAUAUUUUGGCUUUGCUGACAAUGUCUUCAGAAUUUUCGACAUGGAAGAAAAAACUACGGUUAAAAGCAACCUUUACCAUUUCUAUAAGAUGUAAGCGAUGCACGGCUUUGUCAAGUAUGCCAUUGCAAAAAACGGACAUGAGUGAGCACAAUAUGUUAUGGUUACACUUCGAUACCUCACCUAUAACGUGGACUGAUCACGCAACAAUGAUUGUGUCUAAUUACUUAUUCCGUGAUUAUAAAACUCGAAACAUUAAAAUGUGGUGCAGAUUUAAUACUAAAUAUCACAUGGAAUUUGCAAAAUAUGUAGCUGAAAAGAUCACGUCGUUUUUUAAAAAUGAAUGGAAACAUUCGGACUAUACUUCGAUAGUGUCUCAUAUUGCAAUUCCAAAUUUCCAUGACAGAAGCACAUAUUUCGGACUUGUUCUUUAUAGGGAAACAGAUAUCGUCUACGUUAAAAAUAUAUAUCCUAUUGCUCGCAAGAUUGAAGUAGCUCAAUUAGUAGGACGUAAAGUAACACAGCAAUGGUUUAAUAACAUAAUGAACAAUGCGUUAGUGUCGGAUUUUUGGUUUAAAAAUGGUCUUAUUACAUUGCUUGCAAUGCAUGUUAUCAAUAAGGCAUAUCCAAAUUAUCGAAUAAUAAAUUUAUUUGUUGUUCAAAAUCAACAUUAUUCUUUUAAUUUGGAUAGUGAUUAUCAUAUGUGGAAUUUUACUUCACAAGUUAACAGUUCAUUGGAAAUCCCCAAGUCUAUCAGAGCACCCUUUAUACUGCGCAUGAUGCAACACGUUUUCACCGAAGAAAUAUUUUGGAAAGGCAUUCGCUCAUAUGUAAAUACCAUCCAAUUUCAUCGUGAUAGUUUUGUGCAUUUUUGGAGAGAAGUUGUUGAUGCUGCAGAAAAAACAAAUAUUUCUCUAAAAACAAUGAAUUAUUGGGAUAUGGAAAAGCAUUGUCCUAUCAUAAAAGUAAUACGAAAUUAUAAUACAAACGAAGUAAAUGUAUCGAUACAAAAUAUCGACACAUUAAGGAUUGACUGCCUUCCUGUAACUUUUUCUACGGAAGCGUCGGCCAAUUUUAACAAUUUUACUCAUCAUAUGGUAUGCGUGUCAAAGGAUUUAAAAUUAUCAUUACCAUAUAAAGAAUUUGAAUAUAAUUGGAUAAUAUUCAAUAUACAACAAAUUGGAUAUUAUCGCGUGAACUAUAAUGAUGAAAACUGGCGAAGAAUUUCAAAAUAUCUAUGCUAUGUUGAUUACACGAAAAUACAUGUUCUUAAUCGUGCCCAAAUUAUAGAUGAUGCAUUUCAUUUUAUGAUAGCAGGCCAACUCCAUUCAACUAUAUUUUUUCAUCUCAUAUCAUAUUUGCAUCUAGAAGAAGAUUAUAUAGCUUGGUAUCCUAUGUUUAAAGCUCUGGAAUACAUGUAUAGUAGUUUUCCCGCAGCCAUGCUGGAAAGUGGUGUUUGGAACUUUAAGAAAUUUAUAAGCAGCAAAUUAUACAAUGUACUUGAACGAAUCACAUACGAAGAAAAUGAUGAUAAUGACGAACUUAGAAAAUGUUUACGGCAAGAAGCUGCAAGAUGGGCAUGUUUUCUCGGUAACUACUAUUGUAAGAAAGAAGCCAACAAUAAAUUAAAACAACAUAUUGAAGAUCCUAAAACACACGGACUUUUGCCAUGGUGGAAGGAAUGGACAUAUUGUAACGGUUUGAUGACAACUACCAAAAAAGAGACCACUUGGCAAUCAGUGUAUAAUAUAGGAUUCAAAAAAUCUGACACUAAAUUUUUAGAAUACCUGGCUUGCUCUGAAGAUACUAAUAUCAUCAUCAACUAUUUAAACCAUACAAUAUACUAUGAACAGUACAAUUUUACAGAGAAUGAAUAUCAAUAUCUUUUCAACAGUUUUUUACAUAUUUUUGCAAAGCAUACAAAAAAUCCAAUUAUACUAGAGUACAUAUUACAUCAUCUUGACGAAAUAAAACCAAAAAAUGUUAAUAUAAUUGCAGUAUUAAUUAUUAUUAUCAAUAACGUAUAUUCCAAAAAUCGAACUGAGCAAAUAUUAAGAAACAUUAGAGAUAUUAUAGAAUAUUACUUAAUUGAAUUGCAUAUCAAAGAUAAAUAUUUUCGUAGAAGGAAGUAUUACUAUCAAAUAAAGGAGCUAACCAUUUCUGCGGUGGCAAAUGUAAGCAACAACUUUUGUUUUGUAAAAUGGCCGCAGAUAAGAAACAUAUUUUGUCAUUACAAACACUGUGAGCAUAAAUUCAAUAAAUAUUUCCCAACAUCUGUUAGCAGACUAUAUUGACAAAGUGGCAAUGAGUAGCAAGCAGAUCUGUCGAAAGUGUUGACAACAGAUUGAUGCCAAAAAUGCAGCAGAUCCUUCAGAUCUAGGAUUUUUCUUCGAUUUGUUAAGCAUUUGGCGCAAUAAUCUGUCCUCAAUUUACGAUUGACAAAUCUGUUCCCAGUCUGUUGCCAAUCUGUCGUCGCACUGUUAGUGACAGAUCUGCUCUGGCGUUGCACCCAACUUGAUGUUAGGAUAUACUUUCAACUUUUGAUUGCAAUAAUUGGAGCGCACUCGAGGACACAGUAGGCCCUGGAUUUGCAGCCAUAUUUGGUCGUAUUUUGUUUCCCGAUUGUUAACAAUUUCCAAGCAAAUGAUGAGUAACUUUACGAUAGAUAAGGAUUACUUGAAAUUAUAUUACCAAAUUAUAGAAC
Non-coding RNA from Nylanderia fulva, 2870 nucleotides. NCBI's taxonomy places the organism in Eukaryota, Metazoa, Arthropoda, Insecta, Hymenoptera, Formicidae. The record is from RefSeq and is a predicted model, not a curated record.